Molecule: ribosomal RNA, 233 nt
Filed under: uncultured Thauera sp.
Lineage: Bacteria; Pseudomonadati; Pseudomonadota; Betaproteobacteria; Rhodocyclales; Zoogloeaceae
Description: partial 16S ribosomal RNA
Rfam family: Bacterial small subunit ribosomal RNA
Source: RNAcentral
UGCCGGUGGACAAACCGGAGGAAGGUGGGGAUGACGUCAAGUCCUCAUGGCCCUUAUGGUAGGGCUUCACACGUCAUACAAUGGUCGGUACAGAGGGUUGCCAAGCCGCGAGGUGGAGCCAAUCCCUUAAAGCCGAUCGUAGUCCGGAUCGUAGUCUGCAACUCGACUACGUGAAGUCGGAAUCGCUAGUAAUCGCAGAUCAGCAUGCUGCGGUGAAUACGUUCCCGGGUCUU